This is a long non-coding RNA of Xenia sp. Carnegie-2017, 1470 nucleotides long. RefSeq lists it as uncharacterized. The record is from RefSeq and is a predicted model, not a curated record. Lineage: Eukaryota; Metazoa; Cnidaria; Anthozoa; Malacalcyonacea; Xeniidae. The transcript has 6 exons.
CAAACAAUAUAAGGAAACAUUGUAAAGAGAAGUACAAAUAUUUGCCUGUAUCUCUUCAAUAAGGUCGUAGAUUUGUUCCUAGCGAGAGUUUGACAAAAUUUGAGUGGUUUGGCACUUUGAUGCAGUUUAGAAGUUCAGAUGACCUGCAUCAUAAUGUAUUGAAAAAGCGUUGAAUCUUGACGGUCACUUUCAUUUGAUUCAUCCGAGGUGUAUGCGGGUUCAUUUAUUUUCCUUCUAAAGAAAGAGUUUGAGGAGAUAAUCAAUUGAAAAAUGCGAGCACUGUUCAAAUGGGAUUGGAGCUUUUUGUAGCUGCUGAAGACUCUUUUUCAAAAUACCUACACUUUUUGUAUAAGUGGAGAAUUCUGUGACAAAUAUGUCUUCAAUUUUGUUUAUAUAUUCAUAAAAUGCUACUUUUGGUGCAAGGAGACUGCCAAAGCUCUUGUCUGACUCAUAUGCCUUGAAGUAGCAAAGCAGAUUUCUGCUAUCAUCAAGUUGGUCUGUGACCAUAACUGACUCACAUAUGGAACACUUGUGCUUUUCAAAAUAUUUCUGGAAUGGAGAAAUCAAAACAGGAAUGCUUGAGUCAGCUUUGCAGAAUUGUGCCAGUAAGUCAUCAAAGUCAUCUUCACAGUUGCCUUGUGAUGAAUUUAAGAAUGAACUAAAAAACAGCUUCCUGAAAGCACAGGUGAACUGGAUGGAGGUCGGAUUGUCGCUGUUGCCACCCUGCUGACGAAUUGCUCCAAAAAAGUUCUCUAUUGGAAAUCCACAAUAUCCUGCCACUUGGCUGUGAACUGGUUGAACUUGAAAGUGUAUUUCAUCAAAUUAUUUCUAACACAUUUGAUCAGAUGUGGUGGAUCAAACAUCAAAUAAAUCUUUCUUUGAUUGUGCAUAAACCAAGGACUCUCUGGACUGAUGUUCAGGUGCUUAGCCAAACUUUGAAAAUUGCUCCCCAAAUCAGACAUUACUACAACAAGAUUCAAUAAUUUCGAGAGCAUACGAUAGGCUUUUCCACUAGCAUGAUACAAGGACACAGCAAUGGACUUCAUCUGUGGUGUAUUAUUGGAUAGUAUAGCACUUGUUUGGCAAGAAAAAUCUGAAGUUUGUCUUUCUGUAUUAGGCCCACUUUCAUCAACUUCGUGCAAUGGUGAAUGUGUAUCUGGUGGCUCUAAACAUAAACUUAAGGGUAAUAACUAAUUCAAAGUGGUGACCAAAAGCUUGAGAUGGAAAAUAAAAUGCAAAAUGAAUAACUUUAGCUAUAAUUACAUCUCACCAAUACUAAUGGUCAAGAAUUAGAACUGAAAUAGUUUCCCAUGUAUUUUUGGACUCAACAAUGAAAUCAUACCAUAGAACUUCUCAUACCAUCUUUCCUUUUUUCCUGAUCUUUAUCCAUUUUAGAUUUUUUGGCUGUAAAAUAAUUUGUUAAAAUUUGUCUAAUUUCAUCUUGAAACUAGGUUUGGUGUUUACCUUGUA